UGCAGCUGAACCUGCCGGUGAAGGUCCCACAUCCAGGACUGAGGCUCUGGGAGAUGCUGAGGGUGUGUCUGCAGGGAGGACUUCUCAAGCUCCAGGGUUGGAUGCUUGGCCCCAACCCAGCUCCCAUGGCAGGGGUCCUCCAAAAGGAAAGACCCAAGUUUUUGCAGCCAAAAAGUCUCAUGACUCAGAUGAAUUCCUGAGACAAACACAGAAGGAAGCACCUGGAGGACAAGUGAUGGAACAAAAGGCUGUUCAGGAGGAGGAACACUCAGGGAGAAGCAGUGGCUCAUUGGCAACCCCUGCUGCAGGAAGGAAGGCGAUGCCAGACACGGGCACAGGCACAGCAGAUGCAGCCAGCACCACAAGACCUGUUACCGAUGCCCAGGAUGGCCUCAGAUGGGGUUUCUGUCAGGGAACAGGCUGCUGGCUAGGGUUACUGGCAGGCAUCCUUUAUUUGGAGCUUGUCUUCAUGUUCUGCUGCUUUGGAAUCUGGUAUUCUUGGAACAGAGAACAGAGCACCUCGGGACAGGAGUUGGAAGACGGUGGCUGCACCUCACACCCAGACAGCGUGAGCAGCCCCUCCAGCAGCAGGAACGGCCUGGACAGCCCUCUCAAGUGUUCUGUGAAGAGGACCCCAGAACAACCGUCGACAAGGAAGCCUGUUAUUGCCCCGUAGAUCCCACUGUCACCUGCUCUCCCCAUGGGCCUCCCCAAGCUGCCUUCAUUCCUUUUUUUCUCAACGUCUGUCCCAUCCCAGCCAACCCGAGUUCCUCUAGGGACCCCAGGACCAGCCCAGCACCUUCCAGCACCUCCUCAGACCAACACAUCCCUUCCCCUGCCCCUGAGCCCCCUGGCCUUGCCCUCUAGG
Molecule: long non-coding RNA, 868 nt
Organism: Passer domesticus (house sparrow)
Lineage: Eukaryota; Metazoa; Chordata; Aves; Passeriformes; Passeridae
Exons: 6
Source: RefSeq, a predicted model, not a curated record